AUAGAAGUUAACAGAUAGAGAUAAACAGCGCUCUAGACGAUACACGCCAACAUGAGGCAGGCACUAUUGGUUCUUUUUGUACUACUGGUGGCGUCAUCUUUGUGCUUUGAAAGUGUCGACGCCAUGUGGAAUAUAUUCACCCAACAGCACAAGGGACAUGGUCGACGUUCUGUUGAAAAAAACCUACACAGUCGAGGGAUGAACCAAAUGAAAACAAAACAGUGGAGGGACAGCAUUGCAAGACGUAAAAGAAAUCAGACGUAACUGCAACUUUGUUUGUGAAUUGAUCAAUGCCGCUCAGUAAACGUACCCGACCUAUUUUUAUUUUUCACACAGGAAUUUAAAAUGUAAUAGAUACGUGUAGUAUAUUAUUUGUAGUUUUCACGUGCACGUGAUAAUCUGUUAGAUGACGUCAACAAUAUGUAGGCUCAUUCGACGUGUGUUAACAAGAUGCAAGUGCUAUUUUAAUGAUUUCAACGACGAGCUGCGUCGAGUUGACAACAAUGACGAUUUGAAUAAAUACGAUAUUCGGACAAAUUAUGAGCAUAUCGUACAUGGUGCAUAUUCUUGUGUAUAAAAUAUAUUAAAUUUGCCGAACACGUUUUACUAAAUUGGAGCUGUAAAUAUUACAAGAUUUUUUUCUAUUAUUGACUGUAAUGCACUCUAAA
This is a long non-coding RNA of Saccoglossus kowalevskii, 668 nucleotides long. RefSeq lists it as uncharacterized. Lineage: Eukaryota; Metazoa; Hemichordata; Enteropneusta; Harrimaniidae. The record is from RefSeq and is a predicted model, not a curated record.